AACAGGACGGGGCGGGGCCGGGACCGGGGCUAGAAGGAAGGAGGGUCUCUGUUCCCGUCCCGCUUGCCCCCACAAUUCCGACGGGAGAUGCUCUAGGCUGCCACCGGCCCCGGCGCUGGCUCCAGCUGCGGUCCUGACCCUGCUCCCACGAAGGGGACCGAGCGCCCACUGAAGGUGAGAGGUGUGGGUUCUUUGAAUCCUGUUCAGCGUUCUGUUGUGGGAACUGCAUCUUCAAAUACUGUUGCUCAGAUGAGCUAAAGAAGAUUGAUGACGACAUUCUGUGCUCUGGUGACAAGAUCCUAGGUCUAAGGCCACUGCAUUUUACCGAUCACAAAUACGGAAUUUCAGAGUUGAGAGUUCAGAGGUCAUGUACUCCAAACCCAGGGUCACUUAGAGGAAUCUCUUCUACGCACCUUCGAGGAAUGAUCGCCCGGCCUUCACUUGAAGAUCUCUAGUGACAGGAAAGCCAUUGUGUCUAGAAAAAGAACAUUCUACUCUUGAAUAGCACUACUCAUAAAGAAUGUUUUCCUUACAUGAAAUUUUGAAUCAUGUUGUGAAUUUUGUCUUUUUACAACUUCCAGCUAUUGUUCCCUGUCUUGCCUACUGAUAUUAGGCAGAAGUCUGUUCCUAUUUCUGUGUGACUAUCCUUCAGAUACUUUUGUCAUGACUCCAUUCGUCUCUUCUCUGUGGUUGUGAAGAAGACAGUGACAUCAGGGAGAUGAUGACAUGGCUUACGUUGAACUGGAUUUGAGUGAGGGAGGGCUGUGCAAAGUCACUAGCCUCAUUUUCUCUUCCAGAGCCAUCUGGAUCCAGUGGCCAGAUAUAGAUCAGAUGCUGUGGGAGACUUUUGAGUGAGGCAACACCCAUUCAAUGAAUAGGUCUGUUGAAAAAGUGAGUCAAGGGAUGGCCCCUUUAGUAAAAAAAAAAAAAGGCUAAUCCUAGAUAUAAUAGAAACUCAAGGCCCUUCAUCACCUUGGUUUCCCUCCUCUGGACACUCUCUAGUUUACCAAUAUCCUCCUUAACAAGUGGCAUCUAGAAUUGAGCACAGUACAGCAGAGGUUUGAGCAGAGCAGAAUGGCACCAUCACAUCCAUAGUCCUGUAUACUGUGCCAUUCUUUUUUUUUUCUUUUUUUUUUUUUUUUAGGUAAUUGCGGUUAAGUGACUUGCCCAGGGUCACACAGCUAGUAAGUGUGAAGUGUUUGGUCUGAAGCCGGAUUUGAACUCAGGUCCUCCUGACUUCAGGGCUGGUGCUCUAUCCACUGCGCCACCUAGCUGCCCGCAUGUACUGUGCCAUUCUUAAUCUAGCCCAAGAAGGUAUUAGCUUUCUUGGCUUCCAUAUCACACUGUUGACUUACAUUGAGCUUUUAUAGUCCACUAAAAUCCUCAUAUCAUUUUUUCAUGUGAACUGCCCUCCAG
This 1416-nucleotide long non-coding RNA is filed under the name Vombatus ursinus (common wombat). Its description in RNAcentral is "lncRNA (ENSVURG00010018332.1)". The record is from RNAcentral. Lineage: Eukaryota; Metazoa; Chordata; Mammalia; Diprotodontia; Vombatidae.